UACAGAGGGUGCAAGCGUUAAUCGGAAUUACUGGGCGUAAAGCGUGCGUAGACGGUUGCGUAAGUCAGAUGUGAAAGCCCCGGGCUCAACCUGGGAAUUGCAUUUGAGACUGCGUAGCUAGGGUGCGGAAGAGGGAAGCGGAAUUUCCGGUGUAGCGGUGAAAUGCGUAGAUAUCGGAAGGAACACCAGUGGCGAAGGCGGCUUCCUGGACCGACACUGACGCUGAGGAGCGAAAGCGUGGGGAGCGAUCCGG
RNAcentral lists this ribosomal RNA (253 nucleotides) under uncultured bacterium. RNAcentral describes it as "partial 16S ribosomal RNA". It matches the Rfam family "Bacterial small subunit ribosomal RNA", at positions 524 to 776 of the family's 1533-position model. The record is from RNAcentral.